UACGGGGGGAGCAAGCGUUGUUCGGAUUUACUGGGCGUAAAGAGCUCGUAGGCGGUCUGUCGCGUCGGAUGUGAAAACUCGGGGCUCAACCCCGAGCCUGCAUUCGAUACGGGCAGACUAGAGUUCGGUAGGGGAGACUGGAAUUCCUGGUGUAGCGGUGAAAUGCGCAGAUAUCAGGAGGAACACCGGUGGCGAAGGCGGUUCUCUGGGCAUUACCUGACGCUGAGGAGCGAAAGUGUGGGGAGCGAACAGG
This 253-nucleotide ribosomal RNA is filed under the name uncultured bacterium. RNAcentral's name for it is "partial 16S ribosomal RNA". It matches the Rfam family "Bacterial small subunit ribosomal RNA", at positions 524 to 776 of the family's 1533-position model. The record is from RNAcentral.